Molecule: long non-coding RNA, 350 nt
Organism: Carassius auratus (goldfish)
Lineage: Eukaryota; Metazoa; Chordata; Actinopteri; Cypriniformes; Cyprinidae
Exons: 3
Source: RefSeq, a predicted model, not a curated record
UAUAAUGCAUUUUAAUGUUUGUCUCCUGUGCUUUAGGUGAACGGGACAUUGGUGACGCAAUCGAACCACGUUGAAGUGGUGAAAUUAAUCAAAUCUGGCUCAUACGUGGCCCUCACAGUGUUAGGCCGGCCUCCCGGGUUACCCCAGAUCCCCCUCUCGGAGGUAGACGUGGGUCUCGGGUCACCGGGGGGAUUAUGGGGACCCCUUUGUUUCAUCUCCCAACUCUUACAAUGCAGCGAAACGUACCUCCUCUCCUUUGGUAUCAUGGGAAGAGAACAGUUCUCCACUUAUCCAAAGAAUGGACAACAAGAGGAUGGUGUUCAUAGAACAACAGGACAUAAAGGGUCAGA